Molecule: long non-coding RNA, 394 nt
Filed under: Fukomys damarensis (Damara mole-rat)
Lineage: Eukaryota; Metazoa; Chordata; Mammalia; Rodentia; Bathyergidae
Description: lncRNA (ENSFDAG00000027055.1)
Source: RNAcentral
CCACUGAAGCCUGGGGAGCGCAACCUCGGGUUGUUCAGACUACAUGUGCUUUCCCUUGAUGACCAGAUCCGCCACAAUGAAGCAUGAUUUCCCGAGGAAUUACUGUGGUUUGAACAAUGACGUUGUACUUUUUGAAAACGCUGAGGGGGCAUCUGCCCUGGACUCAGAUGCCAAGUGUGGGAUACACAAGUGUGACUUCCUCCCCAACCUGGGACGCGUUCAGGAGAGCCGAUGAGAGCACUCCGGGCUCUGUGUUUCCGGGAAAGAUGAAGUGAUCAGAGAGCCUGAUCCGGGCAGUGUGGGCAGUCGAACCAUCCACUGGCAAAAACAGUGGGAAAACGGAGCAAUGAGAUAAGCCGGGGCACUUGCCAGUCUACAAAGAAAGUACAACCCU